Molecule: non-coding RNA, 45 nt
Organism: Macaca mulatta (Rhesus monkey)
Lineage: Eukaryota; Metazoa; Chordata; Mammalia; Primates; Cercopithecidae
Source: Rfam
UCAAAGGCUCUUUUCAGAGCCAUCAUUUUUACUGGCAAGCAGCAG